UUUUAUUUGUAAUAUCCCCAAAUGCAAGCAAUCCAAAUGCUGAACAGGUAAACAGACAAGCAGAGUGUAGAAUAUAGAAUAUACAAUGGAAUAAACAAUUAUGAACUAGGUAUACCUGCAACGAUAUAAAUGAAUCUCAGAAUAACUAUUGAGUAGGGGAAGCCAGACUGAAGGAAAGAACGGAUGUUCCUUUUUAUGGCCGCUUAGCAUUCCAUGGUGUAUAGGUACCACAUUUUCUUCAUCCAAUCCACUGCUGAUGGGCAUCUAGGUUGAUUCCAUGUCUUUGCUAUUGUAAACAACGCUUUGAUGAACAUAUGGGUGCACGUGCCUUUUUGAUAAAAUGACUUACUUGCCUUUGGGUAUAUACCUAGUAAUGGAUUGCUGGGUCGAAUAGCAGUUCUAAGUGCUUUCAGAAAUCUCCAAACUGCCUUCCACAGUGGCUGAACUAGUUUUUAUUCCCAGCAAGUGUAUAAGGGUUCCCUCUUCCCCGCAGCCUCACAAGCAUUGGUUGUUUAUUGACUUUUUCAUAAUCGCCAUUCUGACCGGUGUGAGACGUUAUCUCAUUGUGGUCAUGUCCUUCGCAGCAACAUGGAUGGCAGCCAUUGUCCUAAGGAAUUAACCCAAGAAUGGGAAACCAAAUAACGCAUGUUCUCACUUAUAAGUGGGACCUAAACAUUGAAUACACAUAGACAUAAAGAUGGGAGCAGCAGACACUGGGGACGACUAGGGAGGGAGGGAGGCAGGGAGGGAGUGGAACAGAACGUGGGCUGAAAAACUACUACUCACUACCUGGGUGACUGGAUCAUCUGUACCCCAACCUUCAGCACCCUGCAAUAUACUCAUGAAACAAACCUGCACAUGUACCCUUUAAUCUAAAAUAAAAGUUGAAAUUGUUUUUUUAAAAAAGAGCACAUAGUAUAUUAUUCCAUUUACAUAAAAUUUUAGAAAACACAAAUGAAUGUGUUGACAAAUCAGUGGUUGCCUGGAGAAGGGGGAGUGCAGAGAGGUACAUGGGGAAUAAAUUAUAAAGGGACUGGAGGAGAUGUUUGGAGGUGGUGAAUGUGUUCACUAUGUUGAUUGCGGUGAUGAUUUCAUGGACGUACACAUCUGUAGAAACGUUGGUGUGUACAUAUGUUGUAUUCUCAAAUUGUCCACUCUGAGUACGAGCAGUGGGGAUUAAGAGGAAAAUAAUAGUAGAGAACAAAAUCAGAGCUUGGCAUGGCUCUCUGCUGGCACCGUGCAGGGUGUGAUUACAUCAGAUCUGUGCAACUCAGAUCUUGGGGAGGGGUUGGGGGGUGGAAGGUGGAGGGAGGAAGGGAGAGAAAACAGAGGGCGGGAAGAAGGGAAGGAAGUGAAGAAGGGAAUGAGGGACGGAAAGAGAGAGACAGCGAAGAGAGGAGAAAGCUCUUAGCAUAUGAAACUGCAGCUAGGACUAAAACCAGAGGAAGGCACACAGAAUCUUGACUGCUCUUCAGAAAUACAUGGCACUCCGUUAAAAUGAAGAUUUUUGCUGCUCACUCCAGAAAUAUUGAAUCAAAACGUGGAGCAGGAGACAGGCAAGGCCAGUGAAGGAGUGUGGCUCCGAUAGGAUUGACAACUACUACCUUAGAUGAUGAAUCAAGCUCAGAAGGGAUCCCUCUGGAUUUCCCUGCGGUGAAGAAACCGAGGCAAUGAACAAAGUAAUAUACCCAAGAUCACAUUGCCAGUGAAUGGGAGAGCUGACGUUUCAAUCUACACAGAACCUGUGCUCUUAGCUAUCUAACCGCUUUACUUGGAAGUGAUGUGAGAUUAAAAAAAGAAGAAAAACAAAAUAUUUUCUUAUGCUUUCAAAAAGUUCAAAAGUAAGUUACAAGAUUUAUGCUGCAUUUUAAUCUAUGAUCUUGAUUACUCAUCAAUUGGAUUAUGUACCCACUUUUUUUUUUUUUUUUUUUUUGAGAUGGAGUCUCACUCUGUCUCCCAGGCUGGAGUGGAGUGCAGUGGUGUGAUCUUGGCUCACUGCAACCUCCACCUCUCUGGUUCAAGCAAUUCUCCCACCUCAGCCUCCCAAGUGGCUGGGGUUACAGGCCCACACCACCACGCCCAGCUAAUUUUUGUAUUUUUAGUAGAGACAGGGUUUUGCCAUGUUGGUUAGGCUGGUUUCAAUCUCCUGACCUCAGGUGAUCCUCCCACCUCAGCCUCCCAAAGUGCUAGGAUUCCAGUCAUAAGCCACUGUGCCCGGCCUGUAUUCACUAUUUAUUUUUAUUUUUUGAAAUUUUUGUGGGUACCCAGUAGGUGUAUACAUAUAUAUAUUUUAACUCUUGAAAAUUUUUGAAUAUUCACUAUUUUAUAACUCCAUACAAGUAUUUUAAACUAAUUUUCUGGUUUUUCUAGUUAUUAAUUUUUUUACCUUAACUCAAAUAAAGAAUAAUUUAAAAGGUGAAGUGUUACAAGUUAAGAGACUCAAGUUCUAGUCUUGGCUUUGCCAUGAAAUUACUGUGUGAAUUUGGUCUAGGCUUUGGUUUCCUCAUGUUUGUUAGCAUGUUCCUCUCUUUAGCUAAAACAGUUCAGUGUAUGUAAAGUGUCAUUCUAUGAACUGAAGAGAUCCUGCCUGUUGAGUUGCAGAUGGCUGGGCAGGUUGCCAAGGGGCUGGUUUCUCCAUGCUGGCUUUUGUGUCUGCAUGCUACAGUUCCCCCCGCACGUCUUGACUACUCACCAGCACAAGAUAUCACACAGACAUGCUUGAGCUGGCCAGGAUCCAGGAUGAUAUUUAGAAAGAAGAGAAUAAAAGCUUAAGGAUGAUCAAGUCCUCUUAAGUAAUAUUAAACAAAAGCAUACUAUUUUCCUUCUAAUUUCCUCUCAAGGCACUUCUCAUGUUAGCAAAGAAAAUGACAAGAUGAGUGUCAGCCUGUCAUAUUUUCUGAUGUAAUGUAUGGGCUAGUAGCUCAUCACAAAAUCAACCAUUUUAUAGGAACUAGAUAAGUUUCAGUGCCAAGCCUUGUUCUCAAGCAGCAGGAUGCCUGCUAAGCAGGGUCCAUAUAAGCUAGAGUUUUGAAAUUAUAGUGAUAUUUUUAUUUUAAGGCAUUCAAGAGCAAAAGCAAAUAGUGGAAGGUUCUCAUUCAUCAAAUGCAAUGACCUUAUUGUUUAGAAAAAAUAAGAUGUGACUAUUACCAAAAAUGCUAUUUUAAAAGUAUAAUCACCUUCUUUUCAGUCUGCCAUGAAAAUUCAUGGAGACCAAAAAUGAUUAAUACAUUAUUUUGUAACUUGCUACCCAAAACAGGGUGGUUUGUUUUCCAAAUUUUGUAUUCUUUGCAUAUUUAAAGUUACUUACUGAGAGUUUUCCAUGUGUAAGGAAUUGAAGGAACAAACUCACAAUCUCUGUUACAAGAUUUAAAAGAAAUUUUUGGAGGCACAUGAACAUCUGCAAUUUCAUUUGUAAAGUAUCCAAGAAUCUGUCGCCUUAGUAACAAUCAAAUGCAUUAAAUGCUAAACGCUGAUUAAAUAGAGUUGAAAAUGGAUUUGUUAGUUAUCCCUCUAAGAAUUUUAACUCCAGCCGCUAGCCCUCUCCUCCCCUUUGCAAUGCAACUAUGCCUUCAAAUAGUGUUCUUUAAAAGGAGGCUUUACGGCUUUGGAGGAAUAAGCUGAUUUCACAGCCAGUUUUGCCACUGCUGUGGAAAACAGAGUACACAUGCAAGACUGCUGAAGUCAUACAAACUGCAAGGAUUAUGGCUGUGGGGGCCUCCACAACUCCUGUCAAACUGCAAUUGGAAACAGCUUCUCCAAAGGACAACAUGAGAAAUCAGGAAUUCUUGUCCAUGGCUCCCCAACCUGCUGGGUUUCUAAUCAGGCCUGGCAUGACCCAUUAGAGAUCAGACAUAGGAAAAUCACAAUGAAACUAGGGUAUCUUCUGUUUUCCAAGCUUCACUCCCCCAGAUCCUUUUCAAGCCUGUAAUUAUUGUCUCUCACCAGUUAAUAAGGGAACCGUUUCUCCAUGGGGACAGGAGCUUCUGGAAGGCUGGACCCAAUCAUUACAGGCUCAGUCCAGGGCCUUUCCUUCACACCAACUACUGCAGCCACUCCCAGAGCCCCUGGAACUCCGGCCCAAGGCUCUCUGACUGACUCCUUCCCAGAUCUUCUCGGCUUAGCAGCUGAAGACUGACACUGCCCGAUCACCUCGGAAGCCCCCUAGACCAUCACGGACGCCGAGCUGCCAGUAACUCUCACAGUGGAAGGUAAGCCCAUCCCCUUCUUAAUCAAUACGGAGGCUACCCACUCCACAUUACCUUCUUUACAAAGGCCUGUUUCCCUUGCCUCCAUAACUGUUGUGGGUAUUGACGGCCAGGCUUCUAAAUCUCUUAAAACUCCCCAACUCUGGUGCCAACUUAGACAAUACUCUUUUAAGCACUCCUUUUUAGUUAUCCCCACCUGCCCAGUUCCCUUAUUAGGCCGAGACACUUUAACUAAAUUAUCUGCUUCCCUGACUAUUCCUGGGCUACAGCCACACCUCAUUACUGCCCUUCUUCCCAAUCCAAAGCCUCCUUUGCGUCCUCCUCUUGUAUCCCCCUACCUUAACCCACAAGUAUAAGAUACCUCUACUCCCUCCUUGGUGACCGAUCAUGCACCCCUUACCAUCUCAUUGAAACCUAAUCACCCUUACCCCGCUCAACGCCAAUAUCCCAUCCCACAGCAUGCUUUGAAAAGACUAAAGCCUGUUAUCACUCUCCUGCUACAGCAUGGCCUUUUAAAGCCUAUAAACUCUCCUUACAAUUCCCCCAUUUCACUUGUCCUAAAACCAGACAAGCCUUACAAGUUAGUUCAGGAUCUAUGCCUUAUCAACCACAUUGUUUUGCCUAUCCACCCCAUGGUGUCAAACCCAUAUACUCUCCUAUCCUCAAUACCUCACUCCAUAAUCCAUUAUUGUGUUCUGGAUCUCAAACAUGCUUUCUUUACUAUUCCUUUGCACCCUUCAUCCCAGCCUCUUUUCACUUUCACUUGGACUGACCCUGACACCCAUCAGGCUCAGCAAAUUACCUGGGCUGUACUGCCCCAAAGCUUCACAGACAGCCCCCA
RNAcentral lists this long non-coding RNA (5046 nucleotides) under Homo sapiens (human). RNAcentral's name for it is "HSALNT0225863". Lineage: Eukaryota; Metazoa; Chordata; Mammalia; Primates; Hominidae. The record is from RNAcentral.